Zalophus californianus (California sea lion) is the source of this 562-nucleotide long non-coding RNA. RefSeq lists it as uncharacterized. Lineage: Eukaryota; Metazoa; Chordata; Mammalia; Carnivora; Otariidae. The transcript is spliced from 6 exons. The record is from RefSeq and is a predicted model, not a curated record.
CCCAGUUUCUCUCAUUUUCUUUCUCCCCUCCUGCUCCCUCUCCCUCCCUUAUUUUCCUUUCUUUCUCUCUUUUGUUUCUUUGAAAGAAAGUGGUGUGUGUAUUGGUAGUUACAUUCCUUUUGGCUCUCAUCCAAGUCUCUUUGAGGAAUGCGCUGCUUGGAGUCCCCUUCAUCCAGCAUUUGUCUACCUGACCAAUCCUGCCCUUCCUCUAAGGUAUCAGUAACUUGAGUACAGCACAGAGAGAUCUUGGAACCUCUCAUCCUGUGACGAUCCUGGAGAACCAUCUGCAGAGAUACAUCCAGAAGGCAGCUGCCUGCAAGCCAGAAAGAGAACCCUCACCUGGGAACUGAAUUGGCCAACACCUUAAUCUUGGACUUCUCAGCCUCCUGAACUGACCAUUUAGUUCCUACACAAGGGAAAUUCAGAAGGACUAAGGAUCUUCAGAUCCAUUCUUUGCCUUUCUUCUGCAAAGUAUGCUUCCCAUGCUCCCUCAAAUCAGGCCUAUGGGUAUGUUGGCUAAUCAGAGGCACUGAAGAUGUGCAGAAGGAAGGACCCAAGGUAU